UACAGAGGGUGCAAGCGUUAAUCGGAAUGACUGGGCGUAAAGGGUGUGUAGGUGGCGAGCUAAGUUAAAUGUGAAAGCCCCGGGCUUAACCUGGGAACGGCAUGUAAUACUGGCUUGCUAGAGUGGUGGAGAGGUAAGUGGAAUUUCCGGUGUAGCGGUGAAAUGCGUAGAGAUCGGAAGGAACAUCGGUGGCGAAGGCGACUUACUGGCCACACACUGACACUGAAACACGAAGGCGUGGGGAGCAAACAGG
This 253-nucleotide ribosomal RNA is filed under the name uncultured bacterium. RNAcentral's name for it is "partial 16S ribosomal RNA". It matches the Rfam family "Bacterial small subunit ribosomal RNA", at positions 524 to 776 of the family's 1533-position model. The record is from RNAcentral.